This 73-nucleotide transfer RNA is filed under the name Nematocida displodere. It matches the Rfam family "tRNA". From Rfam's summary of the family: Transfer RNA (tRNA) molecules are approximately 80 nucleotides in length. Their secondary structure includes four short double-helical elements and three loops (D, anti-codon, and T loops). Lineage: Eukaryota; Fungi; Microsporidia. The record is from Rfam by way of RNAcentral.
GGUCCUAUGGCCCAAUGGUUAAGGCGCCGGUCUACGGAACCGGAAAUUCGGGGUUCGAAUCCCCGUAGGAUCA